Molecule: ribosomal RNA, 268 nt
Filed under: uncultured bacterium
Lineage: Bacteria
Description: partial 16S ribosomal RNA
Rfam family: Bacterial small subunit ribosomal RNA
Source: RNAcentral
GCAAGUCGAACGAGAAAUCUUGGUUUCGACCGGGAGAGUAAAGUGGCGCACGGGUGCGUAACGCGUGGAUAAUCUACCCUUGAAUCUGGGAUAACAUUGCGAAAGCGAUGCUAAUACCGGAUGAUAUCCGUUUUUCUUCGGGACGACGGAUCAAAGACGGCCUCUACCUGAAAGCCGUUGUUUGGGGAUGAGUCCGCGUACCAUUAGCUAGUUGGUGGGGUAAUGGCCCACCAAGGCUUCGAUGGUUAGCUGGUCUGAGAGGAUGAUC